This 1029-nucleotide long non-coding RNA is filed under the name Zonotrichia albicollis (white-throated sparrow). RNAcentral describes it as "lncRNA (ENSZALG00000002428.1)". Lineage: Eukaryota; Metazoa; Chordata; Aves; Passeriformes; Passerellidae. The record is from RNAcentral.
AUGACACAGAGGGUGAUACACAAACCAACACCAGAGAACAGCAACAGAUCACAGCACCUACCUCGGGCCUUCAGCCCUUCUUCUGAGGUUGCACACAGCGUCCUGCUUUUCUCAUCCUUCCUGUCAUCCAUAUCUAGUCAGAAGCAAAAGGACAUUCAAUCAUAUAAUUUCCAAAAGACUUUGGCGGUGGGGGGGAAAUUCAGAAACCGAGGAAUCGAGCCAGCACGCCUGAUGGCAGCGCCAUGGAAGCACAGGGCGGGACAGCUUGGAAGGGACCACGGUCGGUCCCUGGUCCCACCUCCCCGCUCCAGCAGGGCCAUCCCAGGGCACACGGCACAGGGCCACAUCCCCCUCCAUGACACCGCACGCCACUGCAGGGGAAAGCACGUUCACGCCCUUGCACCAGGAACCGGAGGCCAGACCCGGCUCGGGUGCCGCUGCCGCAGACGCCGGGGGGUUUUACCCACUCCUACGCGUGGGGCUGUCUCUGGAUCACGGAUCCCGCCCACGGCCCUCGGCGGCCGUACCCCGGCCCGGCCCACCCUUCCCCGGCCGCCCCGGGGCCCCGACCCACCCGCGCUGCGGCCGCCGCCGCCCGGGCUCCGCCGCCCCUGGGCCGGCACCGCCCGCGCCCCGGAAGGACUGGGGCUGCCCGCCGCCGCUUCCUGCCCGCCCUCCUUCCCUCACGGCAGCCGCGGGCACAGGGUCCGAACACGGCCCCGCUCCGCCGCUUCCUGCCCGCCCUCCCUCACAGGGACCGAACACGGCCCCGCUCCGCCGCUUUCUGCCCGCCCUCCCUCACGGGGCCUGAUCGCGUUCCCGCUCCGCCUGCCUGGGCUCUGCCCUGCCCAGCGUCCCCUUCCCGCUGCACAGCACCGCGUUCCCAAGCACGCCGCAGUCGUGGGAUUCUGGAACAGUUCCUGUUCCUGCUCUGAACCGAAACAAAUCCAAGCCCUGCUGAGCCCAAAGCCGGCCCAAGCAGAAAUUGUCAUCGCAGUGCAGCCUCAGACCUCGAGGGUAUUCAUCUGA